Molecule: ribosomal RNA, 913 nt
Filed under: uncultured bacterium
Lineage: Bacteria
Description: bacterial SSU rRNA
Rfam family: Bacterial small subunit ribosomal RNA
Source: RNAcentral
CGCCCUUAGAGUUUGAUCCUGGCUCAGGACGAACACUGGCGGCGUGCUUAACACAUGCAAGUCGAGCGGGGAUAUCUGGAGUGCUUGCACACUGGAUAUUCCAGCGGCGGACGGGUGAGUAACGCGUGAACAAUCUGUCCCAUACAGGGGGAUAACAGAUGGAAACAUCUGCUAAUACCGCAUAAGACCACGAUGCCACAUGGCGACGGGGUAAAAGGAUUUAUCCGGUAUGGGGUGAGUUCGCGUCCGAUUAGCUAGUUGGCGAGGUAACGGCCCACCAAGGCGACGAUCGGUAGCCGACCUGAGAGGGUGAUCGGCCACACUGGAACUGAGAGACGGUCCAGACUCCUACGGGAGGCAGCAGUGGGGAAUAUUGGGCAAUGGGCGAAAGCCUGACCCAGCAACGCCGCGUGAGGGAAGAAGGUUUUCGGAUUGUAAACCUCUGUCCUCAGGGACGAAGGACGUGACGGUACCUGAGGAGGAAGCCCCGGCUAACUACGUGCCAGCAGCCGCGGUAAUACGUAGGGGGCGAGCGUUGUCCGGAAUGACUGGGCGUAAAGGGCGUGUAGGCGGCUUUUUAAGUCUGGAGCGAAAGCCCCAUUUUCAAGGUGGGGAGUGCUUUGGAGACUGGAGAGCUUGAGUGCGGAAGAGGUAAGUGGAAUUCCCAGUGUAGCGGUGAAAUGCGUAGAGAUUGGGAGGAACACCAGUGGCGAAGGCGACUUACUGGGCCGUAACUGACGCUGAGGCGCGAAAGCGUGGGGAGCGAACAGGAUUAGAUACCCUGGUAGUCCACGCUGUAAACGAUGAAUGCUAGGUGUAGCGGGUAUCGACCCCUGCUGUGCCGGAGUAAACACAAUAAGCAUUCCGCCUGGGGAGUACGGCCGCAAGGUUGAAACUCAAAUGAAUUGACGGA